Molecule: ribosomal RNA, 594 nt
Filed under: Apiotrichum laibachii
Lineage: Eukaryota; Fungi; Basidiomycota; Tremellomycetes; Trichosporonales; Trichosporonaceae
Description: eukaryotic LSU rRNA
Rfam family: Eukaryotic large subunit ribosomal RNA
Source: RNAcentral
GGAUUACCUUAGUACGGCGAGUGAACCGGGAAGAGCUCAAAUUUGAAAUCUGGCUGUCUUCGAUAGUCCGAGUUGUAAUCUAUAGAAGCGUUUUCCGUGCUGAACUGUGUCUAAGUCCUCUGGAACGAGGUAUCAAAGAGGGUGACAAUCCCGUACUUGACACAAUCAUCAGUGCUCUGUGAUACGUUCUCUACGAGUCGAGUUGUUUGGGAAUGCAGCUCAAAAUGGGUGGUAAAUUCCAUCUAAAGCUAAAUAUUGGCGAGAGACCGAUAGCGAACAAGUACCGUGAGGGAAAGAUGAAAAGCACUUUGGAAAGAGAGUUAAACAGUACGUGAAAUUGUUAAAAGGGAAACGAUUGAAGUCAGUCGUGUUUAUUGGAUUCAGCCGGUCUUCGGUGUACUUCCUUUAAACGGGUCAACAUCAGUUUUGUUCGGUGGAUAAAGGCAGUAGGAAUGUGGCUCCCUCGGGAGUGUUAUAGCCUAUUGUCACAUACACUGGAGGAGACUGAGGACUGCAGCUCGCCUUUUUGGCCGGGGUUCGCCCACGUUCGAGCUUAGGAUGUUGACAUAAUGGCUUUAAACGACCCGUCUGAAA